Molecule: ribosomal RNA, 498 nt
Filed under: uncultured bacterium
Lineage: Bacteria
Description: partial 16S ribosomal RNA
Rfam family: Bacterial small subunit ribosomal RNA
Source: RNAcentral
AUUGAACGCUGGCGGCAUGCCUUACACAUGCAAGUCGAACGGUAACAGGUCUUCGGAUGCUGACGAGUGGCGAACGGGUGAGUAAUACAUCGGAACGUGCCUAGUAGUGGGGGAUAACUACUCGAAAGAGUGGCUAAUACCGCAUGAGAUCUACGGAUGAAAGCAGGGGAUCGCAAGACCUUGUGCUACUAGAGCGGCCGAUGGCAGAUAAGGUAGUUGGUGGGAUAAAAGCUUACCAAGCCGACGAUCUGUAGCUGGUCUGAGAGGACGAUCCGCCAACCUGGGACUGGAAAACGGCCCAUACUCCGACGUGAGGCAGCAGUCGGGAAUUUUGGACAAUGGGCGCAAGCCUGAUCCAACAAUGCCGCGUGCAGGAUGAAGGCCUUCGGGUUGUAAACUGCUUUUGUACGGAACGAAAAGCCCCGGGUUAAUACCCUGGGGUCAUGACGGUACCGUAAGAAUAAGCACCGGCUAACUACGUGCCAGCCGCCGCCGUAA